Molecule: ribosomal RNA, 462 nt
Filed under: uncultured bacterium
Lineage: Bacteria
Description: partial 16S ribosomal RNA
Rfam family: Bacterial small subunit ribosomal RNA
Source: RNAcentral
GACGAACGCUGGCGGCGUGCUUAACACAUGCAAGUCGAACGGAAAGGCCCUUCGGGGUACUCGAGUGGCGAACGGGUGAGUAACACGUGGGUGAUCUGCCCUGCACUUUGGGAUAAGCCUGGGAAACUGGGUCUAAUACCGAAUAGGACCACGCGCUUCAUGGUGUGUGGUGGAAAGCUUUUGCGGUGUGGGAUGGGCCCGCGGCCUAUCAGCUUGUUGGUGGGGUACUGGCCUACCAAGGCGACGACGGGUAGCCGGCCUGAGAGGGUGACCGGCCACACUGGGACUGAGAUACGGCCCAGACUCCUACGGGAGGCAGCAGUGGGGAAUAUUGCACAAUGGGCGCAAGCCUGAUGCAGCGACGCCGCGUGAGGGAUGACGGCCUUCGGGUUGUAAACCUCUUUCACCAGGGACGAAGCGUAAGUGACGGUACCUGGAGAAGAAGCACCGGCCAACUACGUG